Molecule: transfer RNA, 90 nt
Filed under: Clostridium cellulovorans 743B
Lineage: Bacteria; Bacillati; Bacillota; Clostridia; Eubacteriales; Clostridiaceae
Description: tRNA-Ser (GGA) (tRNA-Ser-GGA-1-1)
Rfam family: tRNA
About the family: Transfer RNA (tRNA) molecules are approximately 80 nucleotides in length. Their secondary structure includes four short double-helical elements and three loops (D, anti-codon, and T loops). Further hydrogen bonds mediate the characteristic L-shaped molecular structure. tRNAs have two regions of fundamental functional importance: the anti-codon, which is responsible for specific mRNA codon recognition, and the 3' end, to which the tRNAs corresponding amino acid is attached (by aminoacyl-tRNA synthetases). tRNAs cope with the degeneracy of the genetic code in two manners: having more than one tRNA (with a specific anti-codon) for a particular amino acid; and 'wobble' base-pairing, i.e. permitting non-standard base-pairing at the 3rd anti-codon position.
Source: RNAcentral
GGAAAGGUGUCCGAGUGGUUGAAGGAGCACGCCUGGAAAGCGUGUGUAGGGGCAACUCUACCAGGGGUUCGAAUCCCCUCUUUUCCGCCA